UACCCUUUUAGUAUAAACAGUACAAUUGACUUCCAAUCAAUUAGCUUCGGUCUAAUCCGAAAAAGAGUAA
This 70-nucleotide transfer RNA is filed under the name Pteropus ornatus. RNAcentral's name for it is "tRNA-Gly". It matches the Rfam family "tRNA". Rfam says of the family: Transfer RNA (tRNA) molecules are approximately 80 nucleotides in length. Their secondary structure includes four short double-helical elements and three loops (D, anti-codon, and T loops). Lineage: Eukaryota; Metazoa; Chordata; Mammalia; Chiroptera; Pteropodidae. The record is from RNAcentral.